This 547-nucleotide long non-coding RNA is filed under the name Homo sapiens (human). Its description in RNAcentral is "HSALNT0100239". Lineage: Eukaryota; Metazoa; Chordata; Mammalia; Primates; Hominidae. The record is from RNAcentral.
GGGCAGGAGAGCGGGCAGAGGCUGUGUACCCAGGGCAUGGCAGUGGAAACAGAGGAGAGGGGCCAGGAUAGGGAACAGGAAGAUGCAGGGACCUGGGAGAAGCCCACAGGCAGGGGCUGUGAGAUUGACUCGCCACUAUGCUGACACCUCUGACCCAAGUAGGGAGUGCAGGAGGGGAUGCCGGAGACAUAGCAGCUCGAGGUCCCUUCCAGGAAAACAAAAUGAAAUGAAAUCAGCAAGGAUGUGUAACUACAUGUAUGACUAAAUGCUGAUAGACUUGACAUGUGCAAAGCGUUUGUUCAUCUCAUCCAAGGCUGCCUACCUGUGAUGGAAAUGUAGAUCUUUCUUUACUGCAAGAGCGGUGUUUGUUUAAGUUAACCCACUUCAGCCAACAGGAAGAAAAUUCCAACUCAUAACUGAACUCAUCUACUUUUGAAGCCACAUUCACAUCAAUUUAUUAAUACUAUUUUUACACAAUUUCAGAACAUGUGCCUCUCAUAAAGUGUGUGUGUGUGUGUGCGUGUAUAGAGUUUUAUUCUUUAUUCAG